AGUGAACGCUGGCGGUAUGCCUAACACAUGCAAGUCGAACGGCAGCACAGUAAGAUCUUGCUCUUACGGGUGGCGAGUGGCGGACGGGUGAGGAAUACAUCGGAAUCUACUUUUUCGUGGGGGAUAACGUAGGGAAACUUACGCUAAUACCGCAUACGACCUACGGGUUAAAGCAGGGGAUCUUCGGACCUUUCGCGAUUGAAUGAGCCGAUGUCGGAUUAGCUAGUUGGCGGGGUAAAGGCCCACCAAGGCGACGAUCCGUAGCUGGUCUGAGAGGAUGAUCAGCCACACUGGAACUGAGACACGGUCCAGACUCCUACGGGAGGCAGCAGUGGGGAAUAUUGGACAAUGGGCGAAAGCCUGAUCCAGCAAUACCGCGUGGGUGAAGAAGGCCUUCGGGUUGUAAAGCCCUUUUGUUGGGAAAGAAAAGCAGCAGGUUAAUACACCGAUGUUCUGACGGUACCCAAAGAAUAAGCACCGGCUAACUUCGUG
Molecule: ribosomal RNA, 492 nt
Filed under: uncultured bacterium
Lineage: Bacteria
Description: partial 16S ribosomal RNA
Rfam family: Bacterial small subunit ribosomal RNA
Source: RNAcentral